RNAcentral lists this unclassified non-coding RNA (230 nucleotides) under plant metagenome. RNAcentral describes it as "partial contains small subunit ribosomal RNA, internal transcribed spacer 1, and 5.8S ribosomal RNA". The stretch from base 183 to 230 matches the Rfam family "5.8S ribosomal RNA", at positions 1 to 49 of the family's 154-position model. The record is from RNAcentral.
UUUCCGUAGGUGAACCUGCGGAAGGAUCAUUCAUAAUAAAGCGUUUUAUGGCCCUUUUUAAAAAUCCAUAUCCACCUUGUGUGCAAUGUUAGAUCUCGUGAAUCUUGGCGAGAUUUUUAUACAUCAACUCAUUCUUUACCUAAUUUGUCUGAAAAAUAUUAUGAAUACUUAAUUCAAAAUACAACUUUCAACAACGGAUCUCUUGGCUCUCGCAUGAUGAAGAACGCAGC